AUUGAACGCUGGCGGCAGGCCUAACACAUGCAAGUCGAACGAGUGGCGGACUGGUGAGUAAUGUCUGGGAAACUGCCUGAUGGAGGGGGAUAACUACUGGAAACGGUAGCUAAUACCGCAUACCAUCGGAUGUGCCCAGAUGGGAUUAGCUAGUGGGUGGGGUAAAGGCUCACCUAGGCGACGAUCCCUAGCUGGUCGGAGAGGAUGACCGGCCACACUGGGACUGAGACACGGUCCAGACUCCUACGGGAGGCAGCAGUGGGGAAUAUUGCGCAAUGGGCGCAAGCCUGAUGCAGCCACGCCGCGUGUAUGAAGAAGGCCUUCGGGUCGUAAAGUACUUUCGGCAGGGAGGCGUUACCCAAAGAAGAAGCACCGGCUAACUCCGUGCCAGCAGCCGCGGUAAUAC
This 406-nucleotide ribosomal RNA is filed under the name uncultured bacterium. RNAcentral describes it as "partial 16S ribosomal RNA". It matches the Rfam family "Bacterial small subunit ribosomal RNA", at positions 30 to 526 of the family's 1533-position model. The record is from RNAcentral.